CCUACGGGGGGCUGCAGUCGAGAAUCAUUCACAAUGGGGGAAACCCUGAUGGUGCGACGCCGCGUGGGGGAAUGAAGGUCUUCGGAUUGUAAACCCCUGUCAUGUGGGAGCAAAUUAAAAAGAUCGUACCCCAAGAGGAAGAGACGGCUAACUCUGUGCCAGCAGCCGCGGUAAUACAGAGGUCUCAAGCGUUGUUCGGAAUCACUGGGCGUAAAGCGUGCGUAGGCUGUUUCGUAAGUCGUGUGUGAAAGGCGCGGGCUCAACCCGCGGACGGCACAUGAUACUGCGAGACUAGAGUAAUGGAGGGGGAACCGGAAUUCUCGGUGUAGCAGUGAAAUGCGUAGAUAUCGAGAGGAACACUCGUGGCGAAGGCGGGUUCCUGGACAUUAACUGACGCUGAGGCACGAAGGCCAGGGGAGCGAAAGGGAUUAGAUACCCCAGUAGUC
Molecule: ribosomal RNA, 446 nt
Filed under: uncultured bacterium
Lineage: Bacteria
Description: partial 16S ribosomal RNA
Rfam family: Bacterial small subunit ribosomal RNA
Source: RNAcentral